GACGAACGCUGGCGGCGUGCUUAACACAUGCAAGUCGAACGGAAAGGCCCUGCUUGCAGGGUACUCGAGUGGCGAACAGGUGAGUAACACGUGGGUGAUCUGCCCUGCACUUCGGGAUAAGCCUGGGAAACUGGGUCUAAUACCGGAUAGGAGCCAUUUUUAGUGUGAUGGUUGGAAAGUUUUUUCGGUGUAGGAUGAGCUCGCGGCCUAUCAGCUUGUUGGUGGGGUAAUGGCCUACCAAGGCGGCGACGGGUAGCCGGCCUGAGAGGGUGGACGGCCACAUUGGGACUGAGAUACGGCCCAGACUCCGACGGGAGGCAGCAGGGGGGAAUAUUGCACAAUGGGCGCAAGCCUGAUGCAGCGACGCCGCGUGGGGGAGGACGGCCUUCGGGUUGGAAACUCCUUUCGCUAGGGACGAAGCUUUUUGUGACGGUACCUAGAGAAGAAGCACCGGCUAACUACGUG
This 465-nucleotide ribosomal RNA is filed under the name uncultured bacterium. RNAcentral's name for it is "partial 16S ribosomal RNA". It matches the Rfam family "Bacterial small subunit ribosomal RNA", at positions 28 to 507 of the family's 1533-position model. The record is from RNAcentral.